CCAGCUCCUUAUGGUCUACUUUAAGGAGCCUACGGAGAAACUGAUGCUCGAAGUUGAUACCUGUGCCACUGCUGCUGAUGUAGUGAAUACUGCAGCACUCCCAAGCACCCCCUGCUUGAUCAUUCAAGGUGACACAAUGAAGCCUUCUGGGUGGAUGCUAUCCAUCGAGGGACAAGUGGUAAUGGGCCCACACCCAUU
Gymnodraco acuticeps is the source of this 198-nucleotide long non-coding RNA. RefSeq lists it as uncharacterized. The record is from RefSeq and is a predicted model, not a curated record. NCBI's taxonomy places the organism in Eukaryota, Metazoa, Chordata, Actinopteri, Perciformes, Bathydraconidae. The transcript has 3 exons.